Molecule: ribosomal RNA, 253 nt
Filed under: uncultured bacterium
Lineage: Bacteria
Description: partial 16S ribosomal RNA
Rfam family: Bacterial small subunit ribosomal RNA
Source: RNAcentral
AACGUAGGUGGCGAGCGUUAUCCGGAUUUACUGGGCGUAAAGGGUGUGCAGGCGGGUGAACAAGUGGGGUAUGAAAGGUUUCGGCUCAACCGAGAUAGGUUAUGCCAGACUGUUUACCUAGAGUGUGAGAGAGGGACGUGGAAUUCCCGGUGUAGCGGUGGAAUGCGUAGAGAUCGGGAAGAACAUCAGUGGCGAAGGCGGCCUGCUGGGCUGUUGCUGACGCUGAGGCGCGACAGCGUGGGGAGCAAACAGG